GAUGAACGCUGGCGGCGUGCCUAAUACAUGCAAGUCGAGCGAACAGACGAGGAGCUUGCUCCUCUGACGUUAGCGGCGGACGGGUGAGUAACACGUGGACAACCUACCUAUAAGACUGGGAUAACUUCGGGAAACCGGAGCUAAUACCGGAUAAUAUAUUGAACCGCAUGGUUCAAUAGUGAAAGACGGUUUUGCUGUCACUUAUAGAUGGAUCCGCGCCGCAUUAGCUAGUUGGUAAGGUAACGGCUUACCAAGGCAACGAUGCGUAGCCGACCUGAGAGGGUGAUCGGCCACACUGGAACUGAGACACGGUCCAGACUCCUACGGGAGGCAGCAGUAGGGAAUCUUCCGCAAAGGGCGAAAGCCUGACGGAGCAACGCCGCGUGAGUGAUGAAGGUCUUCGGAUCGUAAAACUCUGUUAUUAGGGAAGAACAAAUGUGUAAGUAACUAUGCACGUCUUGACGGUACCUAAUCAGAAAGCCACGGCUAACUACGUG
Molecule: ribosomal RNA, 497 nt
Filed under: uncultured bacterium
Lineage: Bacteria
Description: partial 16S ribosomal RNA
Rfam family: Bacterial small subunit ribosomal RNA
Source: RNAcentral